CACAGCAUCGCAUGAUGCCGUGUGAAAAACUCCGGUGGUAUGGGAUGGACCCGCGUCUGAUUAGCCAGUUGGCGGGGUAACGGCCCACCAAAGCGACGAUCAGUAGCCGACCUGAGAGGGUGACCGGCCACAUUGGGACUGAGACACGGCCCAAACUCCUACGGGAGGCAGCAGUGGGGAAUAUUGCACAAUGGGGGAAACCCUGAUGCAGCGACGCCGCGUGAGCGAAGAAGUAUUUCGGUAUGUAAAGCUCUAUCAGCAGGGAAGAAGAAAUGACGGUACCUGACUAAGAAGCACCGGCUAAAUACGUGCCAGCAGCCGCGGUAAUACGUAUGGUGCAAGCGUUAUCCGGAUUUACUGGGUGUAAAGGGAGCGCAGGCGGUACGGCAAGUCUGAUGUGAAAGCCCGGGGCUCAACCCCGGUACUGCAUUGGAAACUGUCGGACUAGAGUGUCGGAGGGGUAAGUGGAAUUCCUAGUGUAGCGGUGAAUGCGUAGAUAUUAGGAGGACACCAGUGGCGAA
This 521-nucleotide ribosomal RNA is filed under the name uncultured Lachnospiraceae bacterium. RNAcentral's name for it is "bacterial SSU rRNA". It matches the Rfam family "Bacterial small subunit ribosomal RNA", at positions 179 to 719 of the family's 1533-position model. The record is from RNAcentral. Lineage: Bacteria; Bacillati; Bacillota; Clostridia; Lachnospirales; Lachnospiraceae.